GUCGGUGAAUGCAUCUCCACCCUGACAGAGUGAGUCGCCAAUACCUCUCUCUCUCUCUCUCUCUCUCUCUUUUUCCCGCCACCGCAAGCAAGAUUUCCACCCUCUCCGACGCCGAAUCAUCUCGCUUCCUAAAAAACGUGAAUCAUCUUCUCAAUCCUCCCUCCUAUUCUGACAACGACGAACGCAAACUCAAGAUACAAAAACUUUCAAUCGGCUUGAAUUCUCAUGAUUGAUAACAACCUCACCACAUUACUCCGUAAUUCUCAAACCGGAUCGCACCAAAACGUCGUGAGUACUCGAGUCUCUUUCUCCUUUUCAAUUUUCAACAAUUUCACAAUUGCGUAGGAUCUUCUUCUUUCCAACACGGGUACAAUUUCAAUUUCAAAACACGAUUUCCUUAUUAUUUUAUUUUUCUUCUUAAUUUCUGGAAUUUCGCGCGUUAAUAUCGUUUUUUUAAUUUUAAUUCCAUGAAUUCCUGUUGAAUUUGGAAACUGGAUAUACUUUGACCGUUUAGGAUUUUC
This 521-nucleotide long non-coding RNA is filed under the name Trifolium pratense (red clover). RNAcentral's name for it is "long non-coding RNA (TPRA_LNC009799)". Lineage: Eukaryota; Viridiplantae; Streptophyta; Magnoliopsida; Fabales; Fabaceae. The record is from RNAcentral.